AAUUCUUGGUGUGGGUAUUUUUGAAUCACUGUCUUAAAAUGCUCACAUGCUUCAUGAAAACUUUUCCCCUCUAGUUGUUUGAACAUAGAAACUUUCCUUCUUAGUU
Gossypium raimondii (Peruvian cotton) is the source of this 106-nucleotide non-coding RNA. NCBI's taxonomy places the organism in Eukaryota, Viridiplantae, Streptophyta, Magnoliopsida, Malvales, Malvaceae. The record is from Rfam.